RNAcentral lists this ribosomal RNA (273 nucleotides) under uncultured bacterium. Its description in RNAcentral is "partial 16S ribosomal RNA". It matches the Rfam family "Bacterial small subunit ribosomal RNA", at positions 524 to 796 of the family's 1533-position model. The record is from RNAcentral.
UACGAAGGGGGCUAGCGUUGUUCGGAAUCACUGGGCGUAAAGCGCACGUAGGCGGACUGGUAAGUUAGGGGUGAAAUCCCGGGGCUCAACCCCGGAACUGCCUUUGAUACUGGUAGUCUUGAGUUCGAGAGAGGUAAGUGGAAUUCCGAGUGUAGAGGUGAAAUUCGUAGAUAUUCGGAGGAACACCAGUGGCGAAGGCGGCUUACUGGCUCGAUACUGACGCUGAGGUGCGAAAGUGUGGGGAGCAAACAGGAUUAGAUACCCGGGUAGUCC